AUAAAAGCAGUGAUGGGAACAAGGUAUCUGUAUAUAGCCGCAGAGAGCAGGCAUUUCGGUGGAAACCUGUGCGUGUGCAGAUGCGUAUGCGUCGCCCCGGAGCUGGCUGCCUAAAGCCAAAAGGAUAGUAGGGCAGUCCGUGUGCCAGCGUUACCGGCAGAGAGGGCCCAUAUAGGGCCAAAUGCGGGUGGUACCGCGGAAUUUGCAAAUUUCGCCCCGGAC
RNAcentral lists this non-coding RNA (222 nucleotides) under Oscillospiraceae bacterium. RNAcentral describes it as "Ruminococcaceae bacterium T-box sequence". It matches the Rfam family "T-box leader". From Rfam's summary of the family: Uncharged tRNA acts as the effector for transcription antitermination of genes in the T-box leader family. T-boxes are found upstream of many aminoacyl-tRNA synthetase genes and some amino acid biosynthetic genes usually in Gram-positive bacteria. The record is from RNAcentral. Lineage: Bacteria; Bacillati; Bacillota; Clostridia; Eubacteriales; Oscillospiraceae.